RNAcentral lists this ribosomal RNA (483 nucleotides) under uncultured bacterium. Its description in RNAcentral is "partial 16S ribosomal RNA". It matches the Rfam family "Bacterial small subunit ribosomal RNA", at positions 28 to 507 of the family's 1533-position model. The record is from RNAcentral.
GACGAACGCUGGCGGCGUGCUUAACACAUGCAAGUCGAACGCUGAAGCUCAGCAUUUGUUGGACGGAUGAGUGGCGAACGGGUGAGUAACACGUGAGUAACCUGCUCCCUUCUUUGGGAUAACGCCCGGAAACGGGUGCUAAUACUGGAUAUCCAAUGGUCUUCGCAUGGGGGCUGGUGGAAAGGGUCUUUCUGGUGGGGGAUGGGCUCGCGGCCUAUCAGCUUGUUGGUGGGGUGAUGGCCUACCAAGGCUCUGACGGGUAGCCGGCCUGAGAGGGUGACCGGUCUCAUCGGGACUGAGAUACGUCCCAGACUCCUACGGGAGGCAGACGUGGGGAAUAUUGCACAGUGGGCGCAAGCCUGAUGCAGCGACGCAGCGUGAGGGCUGGCGGCCUUCGGGUUGUGAACCUCUUGCGCUUAUGGUCAAGCCGCAACAAUCGUUGUGGUGAGAGUAGUGGGUAAAGAAGCGCCGGCUAACGACGUG